CCAAAAGGCAUUUAAAGACUCUCAAAACCAUGAGGAACAAGAUUGAACUCUUUGGCCUGAAUGCCAAGCAUCAUGUCUGGAGGGAACUUGGCACCACCCCUACGUUGAAGCAUGGUGCUGGCAGCAUCAUGCUGUGGGGAUGUUUUUCAACGGCAGCGACUUGGAGACUAGUCAGGAUCGAGGAAAAGAUGAACGGAGCAAAGUAGAGAGAGAUCCUUGAUGAAAACUUGCCCCAGAGUGCUCAGGAUCUCAGAUUGGGGUGAAGGUUCACCUUCCAACAAGACAACGACCCUAAGCACACAGCCAAGACAGCACAGGAGUGGCUUUGUGUAAUGAAGGGGCGGUGAGUCGGAAGCAGGUGCAGGUGAAACAUUUUAAUAAAACAAAACCAAGAACAUGACACUAACAUAAGGCCGAUACAGAAGAACAAUACCAACUGGUGAGUGAACAUGGGAGAGUAACAUAUAAAGGGGAGGAAACAAAGGUAAUGGAGUCCAGGUGUGAAUCAUAAUGAUUAACAGGUGUGCGUAAUGAUGAGUGCCAAGUGUGCUCAAUGAUACAAUCCUAGGACCGGUGGUUAGUACUCUAGAGACGUCAUAUGCCUGGGGGGAGAAGCAGGAGCAGACAUAAUCCCCAGGAUGAAACACAGGGGUCUCACUGCGGUGACGGUCUGCCUAUUCCCUCUGACGAUGAACGGCGUGCUGGGGUCCCACGUGCGCAUUGUUCCACACCUCCUCCAUGUGCCGGAACUACUCAUCUACUACAGGAGCCAUGGUCUGGCCCGGAGUCCAUGGGGCCAGGGCCGGCUGGAAACCCAAAACACACUGGAAGGGGUUCAACCCAGUCGAGAAGUGACGUAGAGAGUUCUGGGCAUAUUCUGCCCAAGGAAGGAAAUGUGCCCACUCAGCCUGCCGGUCCUGACAGUGACUCCUCAGGAACCUCCCCAGCUCCUGAUUCAUCCUCUCCACCUGCCUGUUAGACUGAGGCCGAUACCCGGAUGUGAGGCUAACCGUGACCCCAAGCUUCUCUAAGAAGGCCCUCCAUACUCGGGAUGUGAAUUGGAGGCCACGGUCCGAGACAAUGUCCUUCGGAAGGUCAUAAUGCCAGAAGACCUGCUGGAAGACUGCCUCAGAAACCUGGAGAGCAGUGGGAAGACCAGGAAGAGGGGUGAAUCGACAUUACUUUGAAAAUCUAUCCACUACCACCAGAAUGGUGAUGAAACCAUCAGAAGGGGAAAGAUCAGUAACAAAGUUAAUGGACAGAUGGAACCAAGGUUGCUGAGUCACGGGAAGUGGCAGGAGCGUCCCUGCUGGAGCAUUUCCGGGGGGGAAUUGGUUUGAGCACACAUGGAACAGGAGUUGACAUAUCGAGUAACAUCCUGCACCACAGUGGGCCACCAGUAUUUCUCAGUGAGGGAAUGGAUAGUGCGAGAAAUCCCUGGAUGUCCAGCGAUGACAGGUGUGUGCCCAGUUCAGCAGCCGAUCCCUUAACCCUGUGUGAACGUAGAUACGCAUGGGAAGAUAAUUCUGGGGUGCAGGCUCCCUCUCUAGAGCCUGGUGAAUGUCCACAUCUACUUCCCAAACCACUGGACCCACGACUCGGGAUUAUGGGAUUAUGGGUGCCCUCAGGCUAGGACCCUCCCCUGAAUCGUAAGUGUGGGACAGGGCAUCAACCUUGAUGCUCUUAGAACCUAGGCGAUAGGUCAGCAUGAAGUAGAACCUGGUGAAGAUGAGGGCCCACGUGGCUUGGCACAGAUUCAGUCUCCUCGCUGUCCGUAUGUACACAAGGUUCCGAUGGUCGGUGAGGAUGACGAAUGGUUCCUUGGUGCCCUCCAGCCAGUGUCUCCACUCCUCUAAUGCUAACUUCACCGCCAAGAGCUCCCGAUCUCCAACGCCAUAUUUCCUCUCUGCGUGGGACAGUUUCUUGGAGAAGAAAGCACAAGGAUACAAUUUUAAUGGGUCCCCCUGUCUUUGUGACUAAACUGCCCCCACACCCACCUCCGAUGCGUCUACCUCAACCACAAAUGGUAGAGUGUGAUCUGGGUGUUUUAGCAAGGGGGCGGAGGUGAAACGCUCCUUGAGGAGACGAAAGUCCUCGUCGGCUGCUGGAGACCAAACCAACCUACGAGGCCCACCCUUGAGGAGGGAGGUGAGAGGGGCGGCGACGGCACUGAAGUUCCUGAUGAAGCGGCGGUAAAAGUUGGCAAACCCCAAAAAACGUUGUAAUCCUUUGAUGGUGGUUGGGACUGGCCAUGACCUUACCGCAUCUACCUUCUUGUCCUCCAUCCUCACUCCCUGCAGGCUGGUAGCCCAAGAAGGAGACAGCCCUCUGGUGGAAUUGGCACUUCUCCGCCUUGAUGAACAGGUGGUUAGCCAAGACUGCUAUAACGCGAGUGAUGUGAUCUUCCAGGUUGGUCGGGAAGAUCAGGAUGUCAUCGAUGUACACAAUCACCUGACGUCCGAGCAUGUCCCUAGACACCUCGUUGACGAAUGCCUGGAACACUGAUGGAGCAUUGGUUAAGCCAAAGGGCUUAACCAAGUAUUCGUAUUGACCAGACAUCAUGCUGUACGCCCUCUUCCACUCAUCCCCCUCCCGGAUGCAAAUGAGAUUGUAGGCACUCCGCAGGUCCAGUUUGGUGAAGAACUGGGACUCGCGGAGCUGCUCGAUGGCUGACGGCACCAGCGGGAGAGGGUACCGAUACUUUGUGGUGAUGUCUCGAUUACCGUGGACUCAAUAACAAGGGCAUCCUCCCUCCUUCUUGGCCACGAAGAAGAAACCAACCAAUGCAGGGGACGUGGACCAGCGGAUGAAACCCUGUUGGAGCGCCUCUUGAAUGUAGUCCUCCAUGGUCUGGGUCUCAGUCACCAACAGAGGGUAGAUGCAUCUGCGCGGAGGUGUAGCCCCGGAAAACUAGUCAAUGGUAAAGUCCCAGGGCCGAUGAGGAGGGAGACAGGUAGCGCGGGUCUUGGAGGAAACCUCCCUUAGACCCUGAUAUUCCCCCGGUUUGUUGGGGCUGAAGGGCAACCACAGGACUCUCAACCAACGUGUAAACAGGGGACAGGAAAGCAGGUAUUCCGGCAUUCAGGUGACCAGUUGGUGAUUCUCAUCCUCGACCAUGAGAUGGUAGGGUUAUGGCGCUGAAGCCAAGGUAGGCCGAGGAUGAUCUUGUGAACUAGUGCACUGGUGAUGAAGGGGAUGUUUUCCUGGUGAUUGGGCUCCACGGUUGAGUGGUUGGGUGAUGUGUGUGAUGGUUCCGGAUCCUAGAGAUCGACAGUAGAGACUUUGAACCGGUAAAGGAGAGGAGAGCGGGUAGGUAGUAAUAUUGAGAGAGGAGGCAAGGGUCUGAGUCCCCCGAGGCGCCGGAAUCCACUAAAGCUGUAGACACAGGGCAUGAGGGACAGGCAGCCAGAGUGAUGGUACUACAAAGAAUCUAACAGGAAGAGCAGUAGAUGGAAUAUUCACUCCUAGUCCAGGGGAUGUAACAUCACGUGACCCUCCCUCUGCUCUAGUGGAUCCCGGAUUCUGAAGAAACGGACACCGCUGGCCUUGUGCCCUCCCUGGCCACAGUACAGCCAGAGCCCCAGCUGUAUCCGUCUGCGUCAUUCCGCCACGGGAAGGCGUGUGACCCCUACCUCCAUGGGUUCAGGCUCUGAUGCCAAACACUCACCGAAGGAGGGAGAGAAGCGAUGAAGAGGAGGUUAUCCAGAUGGAUGGCCAUCUCAAUGAGUGCGUCCAGGGUGAGGUUGUCAUCUCGGCUGGCCAGUUCCAUCUGGAUCUCCUCGCGCAGACCUCUUCUAAAUAACGUGCUGAGCGCCGGCUCAUUUCAUCCACUGGUAGCUGCUACUGUCCGGAAGGUAAGUGCAUACUCAGCAGCUGUCUGAUUCCCCUGCUGGAGCUGAAGCAGAUGCUCACCUCCCUCUCUGCCCUCCGCGGGAUGAUCGAAAAUACGUGAACCCCUCAUAAAACCCAAGAAGACUAUCAAAAAGAAAAUAGCCUGCACAGAGAGACAGGAAACACAGGGAUAAAUACACUUUGGGAAAUAAGCGACACCUGGAGGGAGUGGAGACAAUCACAGGAACAGGUGAAACAGAUCAGGGCGACACAUAAGGCAGAAUGCCGAUACACAAGAACAAUACCAACUGAUGAGUGAACAUGGGAGAGUGACAUAGAAAGGGGAGGAAAUUAUGAAGGUAGUGGAGUCCAGGUGUGAAUCAUAAUGAUUAACAGGUGUGUGUAAUGAUGAGUGCCAGGGCCCUCAUUUAUCAAUGUUGCCUACAAACAGAAAUGUUCGUAAAACAUGCAUGCAAUAAUUUCUAAGCAAAGUGUGGGAUUUAUUCAUUUGUUCUUAUACUUGAGAAUGUGCGUAAAUUUAAGCACACCUCUGACCAUGCGUACACACAGCACCUUGUGGUAGAAAAGUGAAACUGCUAAUGAAAUACCAUCCACCAAAUGGAGAAAGGGAUUGACAUACUGUAUCAAAUAAUAAACUAUGAAGAAAAAAGAUAAUACAUUAAUGGUUUAUUCAUGUAUUUCUUUCAUAGACACUUAUGCUACUAAUAGUUUUCUCAGGGUGCUAUCAAAUUCAUAAAUAUGAAUAAAUAAUAAAAUAAAUUAGAAAGGGAGUGGAAUGUAAGGUUGGAGGCAAUUUAGUUAAACCAGUUAAAUAAUAUUAAAGGCAACACUGAGGCAUCGUGACUUGUCCAACAUGGCACAUCUUGCAUUGCUGGAGGACCUGGCACAAGCUGCAUUAAGCAGGGAGCAUGUUUUCAGUGAGCGUGCAGAUGUUUUUGCUGAGAGCGACACUUGGCUUAUUAGUAGAUUUCAUUUUCCAAGGCAUAGUUUAUUGUAUCUCUGCAACCAACUCUCUCCAGUAUUAGAAAGGGAGACGAAACGCACCAAUGCCAUCCCAGUGCGUACCCAAAUCCUCUCUACCCUGGGAUUAUUUUUGGCCACAAGAACAUUCCAACGGGAGAUUGAGGAUCGGUCUGGCAUUUCACAACCAACCAUGAGCCGAAUAUUGCCUGCAGUCCUUCAUGGCAUUAUUUCAUUGACCCCACAAUACAUACAGUUUCCACUGCUGUGCAACAGGCCAGAGUGGAAAGGGAUUUCCAUGCCAUUGCUGGAUUUCACAAUGUCAUUGGAGCAGUUGACUGCACCCACAUCACAAUAAAAGCACCAUCAUUGAACAAAUUCAACUUGUUCAACCGAAAAGGUUAUCAUUCUGUCAAUGUGCAGGUCCUCUGUGAUUCAAAUUUGGCUUUGUUGAAUGUAGUGGCCAAACGGCCAAGUGGAACACACGAUUCAUUCAUUGUGCAGGACAGUUCAGUCGGCCCUAACCUCCAGGAAGGAGCUGUUAAGGACGGAUGGCUUAUUGAACACCGGGGCUACCCAUUAAAACCAUGGCUGAUGACUCCCCUCACAAACCCCUCAAACCAACAAGAGGCAAGGUUUGCUACAUUGUCAAGGCUUGCAGUGUGCAACAUUGCAAUCAAAAAUGGCAUUCCCCUGAAUGAUCCAACCAGACCCACUCGCCAAAGAGGACACCCUUCUUGUAGGCCUGGGGAUGAGGGGUCAGCCAAAUCACCCACAUCUGUCAAGAUUUCAUGUUUUGUUAUUUUUGUUAUAUUAAUUUUGUUACAUUUAUUUUGUUAUAUUUAUUGUCAAGAAAAAAUAUUGAGAUGUGGUCCAUGUCUGAAUAUAGUUGCAAAAAUAAAGCUUGACUUACCAUCA
Molecule: long non-coding RNA, 5730 nt
Organism: Oncorhynchus nerka (sockeye salmon)
Lineage: Eukaryota; Metazoa; Chordata; Actinopteri; Salmoniformes; Salmonidae
Exons: 3
Source: RefSeq, a predicted model, not a curated record